CCUACGGGUGGCAGCAGUGAGGAAUAUUGGUCAAUGGGCGCGAGCCUGAACCAGCCAAGUAGCGUGAAGGAUGACUGCCCUACGGGUUGUAAACUUCUUUUAUAAAGAAAUAAAUUGGUGCACGUGUCCCUUCUUGUCUUUACUUUAUGUAUAAGGAUCGGCUAACUCCGUUCCAUCAGCCGCGGUAAUACGGAGGAUCCGAGCGUUAUCCGGACUUAUUGGGUUGAAAGGGAGCGUAGAUGGGUUGUUAAGUCAGUUGUGAAAGUUUGCGGCGCAACCGUAAAAUUGCAAUUGAUACUGGAAGUCUUGAGUACAGUAGAGGAAGGCGGAAUUCGUGGUGUAGCGGUGAAAUGCGUAGAUAUCACGAGGAACUCCGGUUGCGAAGGCAGCUUACUGAACUGCAACUGACAUUGAUGCUCGAAAGUGUGGGUAUCAAACAGGAUUAGAUACCCUUGUAGUC
Molecule: ribosomal RNA, 460 nt
Filed under: uncultured bacterium
Lineage: Bacteria
Description: partial 16S ribosomal RNA
Rfam family: Bacterial small subunit ribosomal RNA
Source: RNAcentral